This is a long non-coding RNA of Eriocheir sinensis (Chinese mitten crab), 961 nucleotides long. RefSeq lists it as uncharacterized. The transcript has 2 exons. NCBI's taxonomy places the organism in Eukaryota, Metazoa, Arthropoda, Malacostraca, Decapoda, Varunidae. The record is from RefSeq and is a predicted model, not a curated record.
UUUUAGUAUAUCCUCGUUAGAUUUAGUAAGUUAAUAAGGCAUAGCAAUAUAAGACAGCCUCCCCUUGUAAAGAAAUCACUAUACAAUUUCUCUGACCUAUUAAGACACGUUCAAUACAGGAUUUAAAUGAUGGAAAACCUUAUUCAUUGUCUAUCUCACAUAUUUUAGUAUAUCCUCGUUAGAUUUAGUAAGUUAAUAAGGCAUAGCAAUAUAAGACAGCCUUCCCUUAUAAAGAAAUCACUAUACAAUUUCUCUGACCUAUUAAGACACGUUCAGUACAGGAUUUAAAUGAUGGAAAACCUUAUUAAUUUCCUACCUCACUUUUUUUUUAGUAUAUGAUCGUGUGUUUGAGGUUUAUUAAUACAUUUGUAGCUUCUCUAUUACCUGUUCAAAUCAUAUACGUUAAUGUACCUGGGCUAAUUCUGAUACUUAACACCUGUAUGUCAUUUUAAAUAGGAGUUUGCAUAAGUGUAUGUUAUUUAAUUAGUUUGUUCGUUUGUACCUAUUUUUUUCUUUAACUGAUAUAUAUUAAUUUUGUCUUUCUUCUUUUCUCCCAUUUUUUUUCUUUCUGUCUGUCUAUCUAUCUAUCUUUCUCUUUAUUUCCUAUUCUCUCUCUCUCUCUCUCUCUCUCUCUCUCUCUCUCUCUCUCUCUCUCUCUCUCUCUCUCUGACUUACUCUUUUCUCUCUCUUUUCUUUCUCGCUUUCAAAAUUCAUUCUUUACUUUCUUAAUCGUUUUCUCUCUUCAUUCCUUUUCUUUUCUCUCUCUCUCUCUCUCUCUCUCUCUCUCUCUCUCUCUCUCUCUCUCUCUCUCUCUCUGGUUCACUCUUUUCUUUCCCUCUCUUUUCUUUCUGACUUUUCAAACUCCAUUCUUUCCUUUCAUUCCGUUUUCUUUUCAACCUGUUUCUUUACCUCUCUCUCUCUCUCUCUCUCUCUCUCUCUCUCUCUCUCUCUCUCUCUCUCA